Molecule: non-coding RNA, 85 nt
Organism: Thozetella sp. PMI_491
Lineage: Eukaryota; Fungi; Ascomycota; Sordariomycetes; Chaetosphaeriales; Chaetosphaeriaceae
Source: the annotation of a GenBank genome assembly
GGGGGUGUGGCUCAGUUGGUAGAGCGCUCGCUUAGCACCUACACAUGGUUGCGAAAGGUCCUGGGUUCGAUUCCCAGCUCCUCCA